GCAUCUUAAAGAAUGUUCAUUGUUACCCUGGGCCUCUAUGAAUGUCCUGUGCUACAACAAACUGUGGCUUUACACUAUUGCCUGACCUCUGCCCAUAGGCUGCUGGCACUGAAGUGGGUCACAGAAUG
Nannospalax galili (Upper Galilee mountains blind mole rat) is the source of this 128-nucleotide small nucleolar RNA. The record is from Ensembl. NCBI's taxonomy places the organism in Eukaryota, Metazoa, Chordata, Mammalia, Rodentia, Spalacidae.